Molecule: ribosomal RNA, 279 nt
Filed under: uncultured bacterium
Lineage: Bacteria
Description: partial 16S ribosomal RNA
Rfam family: Bacterial small subunit ribosomal RNA
Source: RNAcentral
CUUGCUAAGUUUGAUGGCGACCGGCGCACGGGUGAGUAACACGUAUCCAACCUGCCGAUGACUCGGGGAUAGCCUUUCGAAAGAAAGAUUAAUACCCGAUGGCAUAGUUCUUCCGCAUGGUGGAACUAUUAAAGAAUUUCGGUCAUCGAUGGGGAUGCGUUCCAUUAGGUUGUUGGCGGGGUAACGGCCCACCAAACCGACGAUGGAUAGGGGUUCUGAGAGGAAGGUCCCCCACAUUGGUACUGAGACACGGACCAAACUCCUACGGGAGGCAGCAUG